UACGGAAGGUGCAAGCGUUAAUCGGAAUUACUGGGCGUAAAGCGCACGUAGGCGGCUCAUUUAGUCAGAUGUGAAAGCCCUGGGCUCAACCUGGGAACUGCAUUUGAUACUGGUGAGCUCGAGUAUGUCAGAGGCAAGUGGAAUUCCAGGUGUAGCGGUGAAAUGCGUAGAUAUCUGGAGGAACAUCAGUGGCGAAGGCGACUUGCUGGGGCAAUACUGACGCUGAGGUGCGAAAGCGUGGGGAGCAAACAGG
RNAcentral lists this ribosomal RNA (253 nucleotides) under uncultured bacterium. RNAcentral's name for it is "partial 16S ribosomal RNA". It matches the Rfam family "Bacterial small subunit ribosomal RNA", at positions 524 to 776 of the family's 1533-position model. The record is from RNAcentral.